This 270-nucleotide ribosomal RNA is filed under the name uncultured archaeon. Its description in RNAcentral is "partial 16S ribosomal RNA". It matches the Rfam family "Archaeal small subunit ribosomal RNA", at positions 477 to 747 of the family's 1478-position model. The record is from RNAcentral.
CAACACCUCAAGUGGUCAGGAUGAUUAUUGGGCCUAAAGCAUCCGUAGCCGGCGCUGUAAGUUUUCGGUUAAAUCUGUACGCUCAACGUACAGGCUGCCGGGAAUACUGCAGCGCUAGGGAGUGGGAGAGGUAGACGGUACUCGGUAGGAAGGGGUAAAAUCCUUUGAUCUAUUGAUGACCACCUGUGGCGAAGGCGGUCUACCAGAACACGUCCGACGGUGAGGGAUGAAAGCUGGGGGAGCAAACCGGAUUAGAUACCCGUGUAGUCC